RNAcentral lists this ribosomal RNA (465 nucleotides) under Vreelandella stevensii. RNAcentral's name for it is "partial 16S ribosomal RNA". It matches the Rfam family "Bacterial small subunit ribosomal RNA", at positions 338 to 795 of the family's 1533-position model. Lineage: Bacteria; Pseudomonadati; Pseudomonadota; Gammaproteobacteria; Oceanospirillales; Halomonadaceae. The record is from RNAcentral.
CCUACGGGAGGCAGCAGUGGGGAAUAUUGGACAAUGGGCGAAAGCCUGAUCCAGCCAUGCCGCGUGUGUGAAGAAGGCCUUCGGGUUGUAAAGCACUUUCAGUGGGGAAGAAAGCCUUGGGGCUAAUACCCUCGAGGAAGGACAUCACCCACAGAAGAAGCACCGGCUAACUCCGUGCCAGCAGCCGCGGUAAUACGGAGGGUGCGAGCGUUAAUCGGAAUUACUGGGCGUAAAGCGCGCGUAGGCGGUCUGAUAAGCCGGUUGUGAAAGCCCCGGGCUCAACCUGGGAACGGCAUCCGGAACGGUCAGGCUAGAGUGCAGGAGAGGAAGGUAGAAUUCCCGGUGUAGCGGUGAAAUGCGUAGAGAUCGGGAGGAAUACCAGUGGCGAAGGCGGCCUUCUGGACUGACACUGACGCUGAGGUGCGAAAGCGUGGGUAGCAAACAGGAUUAGAUACCCUAGUAGUC